CCAUCACUAUUUUCUUCUUUUUCCUUCAAAGAGAAGUCAUGCCUGCUGGGAACAAUCCUGCAUAAGAUAUUGUGUUGGACUGGCUCGUUUUCAGGGCGAUGCUGGUUGGAAGACGGGCAGGAGAAUUGCCAUCCGAAUUUAUAAGCCCAUCCCUUGCAUCACCAGGGGGGCAGCAGGGAGAAGAAGAAUGAUGACGAGCUAGCUAGCCAUCGUAUAAUAGUGAUAGAAGUAUUCGCAAAAAAAAAAGAAAAGAAAGAAAAAAAAAAAAGAAGGAGGUGAUAGACGAGCAGAUCAGUUGAGUAUGCAUCAUAUUGAGCCACCCAUGAUAUGUGGCAUUUAUCACGGGGCCUCUCCGUGGCAUUCAUGAAUGGUUUAAUUUGGAACUGCAAGGGGUUCUUGCACCAAA
Molecule: long non-coding RNA, 406 nt
Filed under: Hordeum vulgare
Lineage: Eukaryota; Viridiplantae; Streptophyta; Magnoliopsida; Poales; Poaceae
Description: long non-coding RNA (HVUL_LNC016771)
Source: RNAcentral